AUGCCUGAGUUACUCGGUAACCCCAUGCUUAACCUUUGGGAGAGCACCACACUGCUUCAGGCUGCGCUAUGUGACCCCGGCAGCAGAGCAGAGGCCUGGGACCUCCAGCCGCUCCCGGCCCUUGGAACCCAAUUUGAGGGAGACAUGAUUCUACCUGGAGUCUUACAGAAGGGGACACAUCCCUCAAGGAGCUCCAUGAGCUUGUCCUCCAUAUCCUUGGGAAGAAGGGCUGCUCCACACAGUUGCUGUGGCCAGGAAGUGACUGCCUGGGCAUGUGGCCAAAUUGCUGUCUCGGCCCUGUGACUGUGAGUCCUCGCGAGUUCCAGCGUUCAUCUUUUAAGAGAAAAAGAUUUUUUUUCCUAUUCUCAAAGAAAUACAUCACCACUGCAGAAAACUUGGAACAUACAGAAAAACAAACAAAAUAUCCCACUCAGAGACAGCUGUUUUAAUGCUUUCCUGCCCAGCUUUUAGUCAGGAGAUUUUGGCCUGCUGUUUAACGCAGGCCCUGUGGUAAACAUACUGCCCUGCCCUGUCUCCAGGUGCUUGGGAUGCCACAGCCUCCCUCAUCUGUCUUCUCACUGCCCAGGGACAAGAAGGCCAACACCUCCAAGGCAUUCAGCAACUUUCCAGGAGGGCCCAAUGGAGAGGAUGGGUGGUGUCCCUGCCUAGCAGCUGGCUGGGUGGUAGCAGCAGUUGGCCAUGUCUGUGCUGCAGAGAUGUGGGAGUCUCUAGGUGCCUGUGCUCUGGCCCUGGAGACCUGGUGUCCCUGACAAGUCCACACUCAGCCAUCCCUGCCUAUCUCAAAAGUCCCACCAGCCCACACACUGCACUGACCCUUUCGCAGGAGCAAAGGGGGCUCCGAGGGGAGCAGAAGAGAACGCCACA
RNAcentral lists this long non-coding RNA (885 nucleotides) under Fukomys damarensis (Damara mole-rat). RNAcentral's name for it is "lncRNA (ENSFDAG00000026425.1)". The record is from RNAcentral. Lineage: Eukaryota; Metazoa; Chordata; Mammalia; Rodentia; Bathyergidae.